UUUUACUUUGAAAAAAUUAGAGUGCUUAAGACAGGCGUUCUGCCUGAAUAGUGGUGCAUGGAAUAAUAGAAUAGGACCUCGGUCCAUUUUAUUGGUUUUGGUCUCGAGAUAAUGGUUAAGAGGGACAGACGGGGGCAUUCGUAUCGCUGCGUGAGAGGUGAAAUUCUUGGACCGUAGCGAGACGAACUACUGCGAAAGCAUUUGCCAAGAAUGUCUUCAUUAAUCAAGAACGAAAGUCAGAGGUUCGAAGGCGAUCAGAUACCGCCCUAGUUCUGACCGUAAACGAUGCCAACCAGCGAUCCGCCAGUGGUAUACCGCCCUGGCGGGGAGCUUUCCGGAAACGAAAGUCUUCCGGUUCCGGGGGAAGUAUGGUUGCAAAGCUGAAACUUAAAGGAAUUGACGGAAGGGCACCACCAGGAGUGGAGCCUGCGGCUUAAUUUGACUCAACACGGGAAAACUCACCCGGCCCGGACACCGUAAGGAUUGACAGAUUGAGAGCUCUUUCUUGAUUCGGUGGUUGGUGGUGCAUGGCCGUUCUUAGUUGGUGGAGCGAUUUGUCUGGUUUAUUCCGAUAACGAACGAGACUCUAACCUACUAACUAGUGACUGCAUCUCCCAUGUGCAGUCGACUUCUUAGAGGGAUAAGUGGUGUUCAGCCACAUGAAAAGGAGCAAUAACAGGUCUGUGAUGCCCUUAGAUGUCCGGGGCUGCACGCGCGCUACACUGAAGGAAUCAGUGUGCUUUUCCAUUGUCGAAAGACACUGGUAAACCGGUCAAAAUCCUUCGUGAUCGGGAUCGGGAAUUGCAAUUAUUUCCCUUGAACGAGGAAUUCCUAGUAAGUGUGAGUCAUCAGCUCGCGCUGAUUACGUCCCUGCCCUUUGUACACACCGCCCGUCGCUGCCCGGAACUGGACCGUUUCGAGAAAGGUGAGGACUGCCGCUGUCGGGGCCUUCGGGUCUUGGCACGUGGUGGGAAUCGCUCUGAUCGCAGUGGUCUGAACCGGGCAAAAGUCGUA
This 1014-nucleotide ribosomal RNA is filed under the name Camacolaimus sp. OVN-2021. Its description in RNAcentral is "SSU rRNA". It matches the Rfam family "Eukaryotic small subunit ribosomal RNA", at positions 750 to 1793 of the family's 1831-position model. The record is from RNAcentral. Lineage: Eukaryota; Metazoa; Nematoda; Chromadorea; Plectida; Leptolaimidae.